Molecule: ribosomal RNA, 460 nt
Filed under: uncultured bacterium
Lineage: Bacteria
Description: partial 16S ribosomal RNA
Rfam family: Bacterial small subunit ribosomal RNA
Source: RNAcentral
CCUACGGGUGGCAGCAGUGAGGAAUAUUGGUCAAUGGACGAGAGUCUGAACCAGCCAAGUCGCGUGAAGGAUGACUGCCCUAUGGGUUGUAAACUUCUUUUAUAUGGGAAUAAAGUGUUCCACGUGUGGGAUUUUGUAUGUACCAUAUGAAUAAGGAUCGGCUAACUCCGUGCCAGCAGCCGCGGUAAUACGGAGGAUGCGAGCGUUAUCCGGAUUUAUUGGGUUUAAAGGGAGCGUAGGUGGAUUGUUAAGUCAGUUGUGAAAGUUUGCGGCUCAACCGUAAAAUUGCAGUUGAAACUGGCAGUCUUGAGUACAGUAGAGGUGGGCGGAAUGCGUGGUGUAGCGGUGAAAUGCUUAGAUAUCACGAAGAACUCCGAUUGCGAAGGCAGUUCACUGGACUGCAACUGACGCUGAGGCUCGAAAGUGUGGGUAUCAAACAGGAUUAGAUACCCGAGUAGUC